AUGUUGUGCUUCUCACAACACUUUGAAGGAGCUUGUUAGAUGCGUAUAACUUACCAUGCUUAUCCCAUGUUAAACCCAUCAAGUGCUAAAUCCACUUUUUCAAGCUUGGGCCAGAGCCAGAGAAGUGAGUCAGUGAUGUGGAGCAGGUGUGGCUUCCUGAUUUCAUUAAUUUAGAUAAUUGCAGGUCCUCUUCAACAGCAUCAAUCUCUUCUGUGUCUUAUGCGACCAAUUCUACCAUGAAUGUUCUCACUCUCUGAUAAAACAAUACUCAAUGGAGGAGAGAAAACUGCAGGAGCCCUGCAACCUUAUGGCAGUGACUGGACAUGCCCUCCCUAUCUUCAUAUGAAAGACAACAACAGCAACAACAAUGAAAUCUCUUUGAAGGAGGAGGAAAGAAUUCAGGCACUUUGGUCAUCUGAUGAAAAUGCAUUUUCCCUUUCAGAUUGAGGCACCUCGAGAAGCAUAGAGCACACACUUGAGCUGUUUGCUGAACUCCCUGGCUGCUGGAGGUGCCUCUAUCCCCAGGGACUAAAGGCAGCUUUGAUUAGCCAGCUCAGUUAAGUUCUUCAAUCUUCUUUUUACACAGCACCUACUGCGGGAGAACAUGAGGCUCAGAUCUACAGAGAGAAUUUGAUAUCUUUCUUGUUUAAAGAGACAGGCCCAUGGAUAUCAGUAGGAGUGGGGCACAUAGAUAUCUCUGGAUCUUCAAAUUUGCUGGGUAGUGCUAACAUCAAAGGAAAUGACAAUCUUCUGUCUCCUCAGAUUUUUUGUUAAUCUAUGAAUUGUCUUUAUGAUGUGAAUGUAAAUUCAUUGUGAAGAGAUAUGUUCCUCAUUAUUACUUUUUCUCACUGGAAUGUUAAAAGGCUAUUCUAUCUGACUUCCACAAAUACCCUUUAGGUGUUGAUGUAGUUUGCUAACCCUCUUCCUUUUUAGCAUUAUAUUUCCUUUAGAUCUCUUCACGACUUUCCUCUGGCUAAUAACAGUUUGGGAAUGCACAAGCCAGCAGGACUCUUCCUGCUUCUCAGAGUCUUGUGACUGGCUGUCUGCUGCUGAUGCACCUGUGAUUACCCAUUCCUGUUGCACUAGCAGAGAAAAGCUGUCUGGGAUUAUUAGCUCAGGCAUUGCUUCUCCUCUUGUAUUAAUUUAAAUGUAGGUGUUGCAUUGAAGGCCCUGAAGCUGUGCUGUCAGUCCUUGUUUUGUGAAAUAAUUCCUUAAAAUACUUGUUGCUUUU
Long non-coding RNA from Neopsephotus bourkii (Bourke's parrot), 1231 nucleotides. RefSeq lists it as uncharacterized. NCBI's taxonomy places the organism in Eukaryota, Metazoa, Chordata, Aves, Psittaciformes, Psittacidae. The transcript has 2 exons. The record is from RefSeq and is a predicted model, not a curated record.